Molecule: transfer RNA, 71 nt
Filed under: Cavia porcellus (domestic guinea pig)
Lineage: Eukaryota; Metazoa; Chordata; Mammalia; Rodentia; Caviidae
Rfam family: tRNA
About the family: Transfer RNA (tRNA) molecules are approximately 80 nucleotides in length.
Source: Rfam by way of RNAcentral
GGGGAUUUAGCUCAGCGGCAUAAGCACCUGCCUUGCAAGCAGGCAGUCGUGAGUUCGACCCCUAGUACCGA